RNAcentral lists this long non-coding RNA (629 nucleotides) under Lathyrus oleraceus (garden pea). RNAcentral describes it as "Pisum sativum (pea) long non-coding RNA (PSAT_LNC032268)". Lineage: Eukaryota; Viridiplantae; Streptophyta; Magnoliopsida; Fabales; Fabaceae. The record is from RNAcentral.
GGUCAUUUCUAAGGCCAUUGAAAACGAAAUUGCCGAUGCAAAAGAGACAUUCACUGUACAUUAUUCACACAUCUCAACUUCGUUCCAUUUAUUUCUCAUUUGAAACCUUCACAACUCUUAUUUCACAACUCAAUUUUUGUUUUUCACUAUUUUUCUUCCAAGCAAGCAUUCAUUUUUAUUUUCUCUAUAUUAUAUUUUUUUCUCUUUUCUUUCACAUCAUAUUUACAAAACAGAUGUUUUUCUUUUCUAAUUUUUAUUUUCAAUGCUUGCUCGGUUUUUCAAGAGUUGUGGCACUUACUGAUUCUCAUUUUCGUUCUCCCCAACUUAUUUCUUACUCACCCUAAGUGAAUGCUCUUAACUUUUUACGGCAAAAGAACAAUAAUCAAGAUUUUCCGGGUUGUAAAAAAAAAGAUUUUUGAAAUCUCGCUUUAUUUCAAGCUGAGAUUCAACUGUUUAAGCUCAAAGGGGUUAACGAAUACUCUCUCUGCUCACAGGUAAGUUGUAUUUGGAACUGGUUGUGCUCGAUAGAAAACAAGUGCCUUGAUCAUUUCUAAUUGCUUCCACAUAUUCACAAUAAUAAAAGACAAAGCAUGAAUCAAAUGAAUCAACAAAACUUAUUAGAAUCCAGC